Molecule: transfer RNA, 70 nt
Filed under: Bipalium adventitium
Lineage: Eukaryota; Metazoa; Platyhelminthes; Tricladida; Geoplanidae
Description: tRNA-Ala
Source: RNAcentral
AACUUUUUAGUUUUAUGGAAAAAAAUUUUUAAUUUGCAGUUAAAGGAAAAAAAUAGAUUUUUAGAAGUUA